AGGGGCACAGGAACUGCCAGAGUGGAGCAGCCUUGAGGCCCGUCUUUCACAGGGGCCAGCACCAGAUGCUACAGAGGAAGGUGUAAGAACCCGGAGCCAAUAUGUAAAGUUCCUUGCCAUCAGACCUGCGAGGAAGAACUGAAACCAAGACAGUGCCCCACUGAACCUUCCUCGGAGCUUCGCCCAGCAGAACUCCCUGAGGAAGGAGAGGGGCAGCCUAUUCAGGUCUCCCCUUGGUUUGUCAGUACUCCAUGCGGGCAGUGAAAUGGCCAGGGAGCUGCUGGGAGCUCAGCACUCUGGGAGCCAAGCCCCUGACUGAGGUGCCCAAGCAGGCCAUUAGGCUUCUAUGUUUUAAGAAGGGGGAGCACAAGGAAAUGGUGAGACAACAUUGGCUAUGAUUUUUUCCUGUCAUGGUGAGAAAAUAUCCAAUAGAUUGGAGGCCAAAAGCCACUACUUCAACUAGUACCCGUCGGCCCUAAUCCCCCAUUUGGAUGGGAUCAAUGCAUAACUACUUGAACUAAAAUCUUCAUGGACAGUCCUCCAAAUGGCUCUUUCUCCCCUAAGAGAUGGAACAGCUCUAAGCAAAUACACACUCGGCAGCACAGCAGGUAGGCAGGCAGAGAUUUGCAAUCAUCCCACUGUAAGGUCGGAGGCCUUCUUCUGCAGUGAGAGACAGCAGCCAUGAGCUAAGCUGCAGAGAGUCCCAGCCUCACCUUCCAGUUAUUGCACCAAAACUGUACUAUGGGGCUGUUCAGAAGGCUCCUGUCCUAACAGUGCCCAUCACCACCAGGUAAAGAAACGGAGCUUAAGUUGGUUAAAGAAAACUUUGUUUGAUGGCAUCUGCCUGGCAAGGAACCACUUCACAGCUGUGAUUGUGAAAUCUCUACUUCUAUUGUGUUGCCUUUAUGGUCCCUACUUCUCUAUUGUUUAUCUGUAGGGGCUCUGUCUGGUUCUGCCUGUUGCAUAGCUGAUUUACACCUUAAAUGUAAGGUGGUGUCAGCUACGGUGGUGGGGUCUGACUGGGUAAGGAACUGUUUCAUAAGGGGUGAAAAAUACUGUUUGGCAGCACUUCAGUUUACAACGACUGGUGAAGGUAGAGCUAAGCAGGACUCAGGUUUCACUAUGUAAAUUGGGGUCCAAAAGGAAGUUCUUUGGGAACCAACUCCAGGACACAGACCCAAGUUCAGAGCUGCCAACCAUACGGUGCAGAAGCUGGAGCCCUUGGACGACCUGAUCCUGACUGGCCGGCAGGAAAAGUUCAUCUGCCUUAUGAGGAGUGGUGAGCACUGUAUGCUUAGCAUGCAAAUUCUGUGUUGGUAACUGAUAAUUAAUAGAGGUUAAGGAUAUUACUGUGCAAGGCUCUUUCACUGGUAAAAGGCCCCGCAAACCCGCAGAAGAUUACACCCUGAGCCCUAGAAACUGGGUAAGGGUAGAGGUGAGCACGUCACACCAGGGUGCUGCUCUGACUUCCCCUCAUCCAAUUCCAGACCUGUUUACCUCUGUGACCACGCUUCCACGUGCACACUGUUAUAGGACACCACAGCACAGGGCUGUGGAAUUCCCCAACCCCAGGGACCAGGAGAAGCCAGCAUCUGACCAUUUUAAGGUCUAACACAAGACUCUUCUCUAAGCAGGCAACUACUCAGUUAACAGAGAGGCCAAGCAAAGCUUCUCCAAGACUGAUCCCACUGAGACAGAACCCUGACAAUGGGGACAAGAGUUUAGCUCCUUUCCUAAGUGAUCCUUCAUUUUGCAUGUGGUGACCAGAUGCUUCAGUAACAGCAACAUUAGAAAUGCAGAGACCUGAGCUUUACUGAUGCCCCUCUCCCACCACCAUAACCCUGUUAUAUCGGUAAGUUCCUCUGGGACCUGGCAUCUUUGCCUACAGCCCCAUAAGCACAACCACUGCACCAAAUACACUGUAACAUCUGCAGUAGCCCAGCUGGUUUAAGUUAGGAACUGCUCUUUGCUCUUUCAGCCAUCUCUCAGAAAAACCUCUGAUUCAAGAGUGGAUUUUAACUGCAUACAUUCAUAUUCUAAGGCCCUUGUUCACCUGAACAGCCACAGUGAUGGCAAGUUUAAGGGGCCACAAUUACCAGUUCUGCAGAACCAUCUUCUAGCACUUCCCAUCACAGGGCUAACCUGCCCCACACUUUGUGCAUUUCUCACCCAACGACAAGUGCUUCUCCAAAGGCAGGAGCACAAAGAGACGCUUUCUGCUGCUUGUCCAGCUUUCUCUUCUCCGCGCUCACCAAGUCAUUCCUCAGGGUUCCUGAUACACUUCCACCACCUUCUGCUUUGCCAACC
Long non-coding RNA from Mauremys reevesii (Reeves's turtle), 2307 nucleotides. RefSeq lists it as uncharacterized. The transcript has 2 exons. The record is from RefSeq and is a predicted model, not a curated record. NCBI's taxonomy places the organism in Eukaryota, Metazoa, Chordata, Testudines, Geoemydidae.